Molecule: long non-coding RNA, 312 nt
Organism: Cyprinodon tularosa
Lineage: Eukaryota; Metazoa; Chordata; Actinopteri; Cyprinodontiformes; Cyprinodontidae
Exons: 3
Source: RefSeq, a predicted model, not a curated record
CUUCAGAGCAGCAGCAGGAGAAGAUACACCUGCCAGUUUGUUGAUGGAAACACAGUGAAGAUAGAAGCUCACUACCAGCUGGAAGGUUCCACAGACUGGUCUCCUCUGAGCUUCAUCAUGUUGACUCUGAGGAUCACAGCACUGAUCCUGAUGGUUGGAAUCACUGCUGAUAUCAUCAGAACCAGAGGUUCUUGAUGCUGGAGACGAUGGAGAACGUUCUGCUGCUGCCACAAUCAGUUGACCUUCAACACAUCAAUACAGUUUAUACUAAAGACUUUAUUAUAUUUUGUACACUAUCUUAUUGUAUUUCCU